UACGGAGGGUGCAAGCGUUGUCCGGAAUCACUGGGCGUAAAGGGCGCGUAGGCGGCUCAUGAAGGCUGUGGUGAAAGUCCGGGGCUCAACCUCGGAUCGGCCGUGGCGACUCGUGGGCUGGAGCACUGUAGAGGCGGGUGGAAUUCCGGGUGUAGCGGUGGAAUGCGUAGAGAUCCGGAAGAACACCAGUGGCGAAGGCGGCCCGCUGGGCAGUGGCUGACGCUGAGGCGCGACAGCGUGGGGACGCAAACAGG
This 254-nucleotide ribosomal RNA is filed under the name uncultured bacterium. RNAcentral describes it as "partial 16S ribosomal RNA". It matches the Rfam family "Bacterial small subunit ribosomal RNA", at positions 524 to 776 of the family's 1533-position model. The record is from RNAcentral.